UAUCUAUGCUUAGGCAAUAGGUCG
RNAcentral lists this non-coding RNA (24 nucleotides) under Mus musculus (house mouse). The record is from RNAcentral. Lineage: Eukaryota; Metazoa; Chordata; Mammalia; Rodentia; Muridae.